Pterulicium gracile is the source of this 92-nucleotide non-coding RNA. NCBI's taxonomy places the organism in Eukaryota, Fungi, Basidiomycota, Agaricomycetes, Agaricales, Pterulaceae. The record is from the annotation of a GenBank genome assembly.
UCGGAUAUGGUGUAAUGGUUAACAUUGCCGCCUCUCAUGGCACUCUGCACUGUUGAACGCGGCAGCUCGGGGUUCGAUUCCCCGUAUCCGAA